Molecule: unclassified non-coding RNA, 348 nt
Filed under: Yarrowia lipolytica
Lineage: Eukaryota; Fungi; Ascomycota; Dipodascomycetes; Dipodascales
Source: RNAcentral
AACUAAACCGGCCAGUGAUGAACGACGUUGUUAUUCCGUGCCAGAUCUCUUUACGAGAGUCGCGUGACAUACCAUCAUGCGACUGAAGGGCGCUGUGGAUCAAAACCCGCGUCUCAACCACCACAUGGGGUCUUUUGCCAAUCUGAGGCUGGUUUAGUUGACUACAGUUGGUAUUUAGUCAAGUCAGGACAUUUUGUCAAGUGCAUAGUUAGAAUUUGGUAAGGCAGUAUAGUGGAGGCUGAUUACCAGUCAAGUAAAUGGACCGAGAAGAGAGACGUGGAUAUAUCUCUGGAAGGAAGGGGGAUUGGAGUAGAGAAGUCGAGCCAACAAACAAAUGGAUUCGACAGG